GAUGAACGCUGGCGGCGUGCUUAACACAUGCAAGUCGAACGGGAAACCUUUUAUUGAAGCUUCGGCAGAUUUAGCUGGUUUCUAGUGGCGGACGGGUGAGUAACGCGUGGGUAACCUGCCUUAUACAGGGGGAUAACAGUCAGAAAUGGCUGCUAAUACCGCAUAAGCGCACAGAGCUGCAUGGCUCAGUGUGAAAAACUCCGGUGGUAUAAGAUGGACCCGCGUUGGAUUAGCUGGUUGGUGGGGUAACGGCCCACCAAGGCGACGAUCCAUAGCCGGCCUGAGAGGGUGAACGGCCUCAUUGGGACUGAGACACGGCCCAGACUCCUACGGGAGGCAGCAGUGGGGAAUAUUGCACAAUGGGGGAAACCCUGAUGCAGCGACGCCGCGUGAAGGAAGAAGUAUCUCGGUAUGUAAACUUCUAUCAGCAGGGAAGAUAAUGACGGUACCUGACUAAGAAGCCCCGGCUAACUACGUG
Molecule: ribosomal RNA, 478 nt
Filed under: uncultured bacterium
Lineage: Bacteria
Description: partial 16S ribosomal RNA
Rfam family: Bacterial small subunit ribosomal RNA
Source: RNAcentral